This is a long non-coding RNA of Apus apus (common swift), 351 nucleotides long. RefSeq lists it as uncharacterized. The transcript is spliced from 3 exons. The record is from RefSeq and is a predicted model, not a curated record. Lineage: Eukaryota; Metazoa; Chordata; Aves; Apodiformes; Apodidae.
UUGAAGACACGGGAACAUUGUGUGUGAUAAUUGAAAGCCUGGGCUGAGGAGGAUGAGCAGCUUGUUGGUACCUUGGCUGAAUUUUCAGUGAUGUUCAUUUGCUGCUGGUAGUGAUAAGGAUCUUCCUGGUGAGGAUUGCACUCUCUUGGGUUUCAAGGCUGCUAGAAUUACAAUUUAUUCAGAGUUCAAGCCUUUGUUUAAGACAAUGUCCUCAGGGUUAUAUGUUAAAUGGCAGAAGAAAAACUACUGUUCUGGGUCUCCUCUUUGGCUGCAUCUUAUCAGGCUCCUUGUAGCUGAAAGACUUGGCAGAGGCACUUGUUGAUACCUGGAAGGAAGGACAGUCCUUACUAG